Molecule: ribosomal RNA, 497 nt
Filed under: uncultured bacterium
Lineage: Bacteria
Description: partial 16S ribosomal RNA
Rfam family: Bacterial small subunit ribosomal RNA
Source: RNAcentral
GACGAACGCUGGCGGCGUGCCUAAUACAUGCAAGUAGAACGCUGAAGAGAGGAGCUUGCUCUUCUUGGAUGAGUUGCGAACGGGUGAGUAACGCGUAGGUAACCUGCCUUGUAGCGGGGGAUAACUAUUGGAAACGAUAGCUAAUACCGCAUAACAAUAGGUGACACAUGUCAUUUAUUUGAAAGGGGCAAUUGCUCCACUACAAGAUGGACCUGCGUUGUAUUAGCUAGUAGGUGAGGUAACGGCUCACCUAGGCGACGAUACAUAGCCGACCUGAGAGGGUGAUCGGCCACACUGGGACUGAGACACGGCCCAGACUCCUACGGGAGGCAGCAGUAGGGAAUCUUCGGCAAUGGGGGCAACCCUGACCGAGCAACGCCGCGUGAGUGAAGAAGGUUUUCGGAUCGUAAAGCUCUGCUGUAAGUCAAGAACGAGUGUGAGAGUGGAAAGUUCACACUGUGACGGUAGCUUACCAGAAAGGGACGGCUAACUACGUG